AGAGUUUGAUCAUGGCUCAGGAUGAACGCUGGCGGCGUGCUUGAUACAUGCAAGUCGAACGGACCGACAUGAGCCGGAAGGGUUGGAAAGGAUGGACAGUGAGAAAUCGCAGGAAAUCCUGGAAGGCCCGGAAAGCUUAACGGAGGUUAGUGGCGAACGGGUGAGUAACACGUAGGUAAUCUGCCUCAAAGAGGGGAACAACUGUUCGAAAGGGCAGCUAAUUCCGCAUAAUAUCCGGUGCAAACCGGAAGAAAGGGACUUUGGUCCUGCUUUGAGAUGAGCCUGCGGCCGAUUAGCUAGUUGGUGGGGUAAUAGCUCACCAAGGCGACGAUCGGUAGCUGGUCUGAGAGGAUGAUCAGCCACACUGGGACUGAGACACGGCCCAGACUCCUACGGGAGGCAGCAGUAAGGAAUAUUGCACAAUGGACGCAAGUCUGAUGCAGCAACGCCGCGUGGGUGACGAAGGCCUUCGGGUCGUAAAGCCCUUUUCUAGGGGAUGAGGAAGGACAGUACCCUAGGAAUAAGUCUCGGCUAACUACGUGCCAGCAGCCGCGGUAAGACGUAGGAGGCGAGCGUUAUCCGGAUUCAUUGGGCGUAAAGGGCAAGUAGGCGGUAGCCCAAGUUGGGCGUGACAGUUCUCGGCUUAACUGAGAGAGGACGUUCAAAACUAGGUUACUAGAGGGCAGAAGAGGGAGGCGGAAUUCCUAAUGUAGCGGUGGAAUGCUCAGAUAUUAGGAAGAAUACCAGUGGCGAAGGCGGCCUCCUGGUCUGGCCCUGACGCU
Molecule: ribosomal RNA, 782 nt
Filed under: uncultured bacterium
Lineage: Bacteria
Description: bacterial SSU rRNA
Rfam family: Bacterial small subunit ribosomal RNA
Source: RNAcentral